This 291-nucleotide small RNA is filed under the name Pan troglodytes (chimpanzee). Its description in RNAcentral is "retained intron". The record is from RNAcentral. Lineage: Eukaryota; Metazoa; Chordata; Mammalia; Primates; Hominidae.
UUAGUUACAGAGUGAUUAUACAGAAGAUGCAACAGAUACUAAACCUGAUAGGGAUAUCGAGUUAGAGCUUUCAGCACUUGAUACUGAUGAACCUGAUGGACAAAGUGAACCAAUUGAAGAGAUCUUGGACAUACAGCUUGGUAUCAGUUCUCAAAAUGAUCAGUUGCUAAAUGGAGCGGCAGUGGAAAAUGGGCAUCCAGUACAGCAGCACCAAAAGGAGCCACCAAAGCAGAAGAAACAGAGUUUAGGUGAAGACCAUGUGAUUCUGGAGGAGCAAAAAACAAUUCUGCC